This 253-nucleotide ribosomal RNA is filed under the name uncultured bacterium. RNAcentral describes it as "partial 16S ribosomal RNA". It matches the Rfam family "Bacterial small subunit ribosomal RNA", at positions 524 to 776 of the family's 1533-position model. The record is from RNAcentral.
UACGUAGGUGGCAAGCGUUGUCCGGAUUUAUUGGGCGUAAAGCGCGCGCAGGCGGUUUCUUAAGUCUGAUGUGAAAGCCCUCGGCUUAACCGAGGAGGGUCAUUGGAAACUGGGAGACUUGAGUGCAGAAGAGGAAAGUGGAAUUCCAAGUGUAGCGGUGAAAUGCGUAGAGAUUUGGAGGAACACCAGUGGCGAAGGCGACUUUCUGGUCUAUAACUGACGCUGAGGCGCGAAAGCGUGGGGAGCAAACAGG